RNAcentral lists this ribosomal RNA (523 nucleotides) under uncultured Neisseria sp. RNAcentral describes it as "bacterial SSU rRNA". It matches the Rfam family "Bacterial small subunit ribosomal RNA", at positions 58 to 568 of the family's 1533-position model. Lineage: Bacteria; Pseudomonadati; Pseudomonadota; Betaproteobacteria; Neisseriales; Neisseriaceae. The record is from RNAcentral.
CAAGUCGGACGGCAGCACAGAGAAGCUUGCUUCUUGGGUGGCGAGUGGCGAACGGGUGAGUAACAUAUCGGAACGUACCGAGCAGUGGGGGAUAACGUAAUCGAAAGAUUAAGCUAAUACCGCAUAUAUUCUGAGGAAGAAAGCAGGGGACCAUUUGGCCUUGCGCUGUUUGAGCGGCCGAUAUCUGAUUAGCUAGUUGGUGGGUAAAGGGCCUACCAAGGCGACGAUCAGUAGCGGGUCUGAGAGGAUGAUCCGCCACACUGGGACUGAGACACGGCCCAGACUCCUACGGGAGGCAGCAGUGGGGAAUUUUGGACAAUGGGCGCAAGCCUGAUCCAGCCAUGCCGCGUGUCUGAAGAAGGCCUUCGGGUUGUAAAGGACUUUUGUCAGGGAAGAAAAGGAUAGGGUUAAUACCCCUGUCUGAUGACGGUACCUGAAGAAUAAGCACCGGCUAACUACGUGCCAGCAGCCGCGGUAAUACGUAGGGUGCGAGCGUUAAUCGGAAUUACUGGGCGUAAAGCGG